RNAcentral lists this ribosomal RNA (484 nucleotides) under uncultured bacterium. RNAcentral describes it as "partial 16S ribosomal RNA". It matches the Rfam family "Bacterial small subunit ribosomal RNA", at positions 30 to 507 of the family's 1533-position model. The record is from RNAcentral.
AUUGAACGCUGGCGGCAGGCCUAACACAUGCAAGUCGAGCGGAUGAAGGGAGCUUGCUCCUGGAUUCAGCGGCGGACGGGUGAGUAAUGCCUAGGAAUCUGCCUGGUAGUGGGGGAUAACGUCCGGAAACGGGCGCUAAUACCGCAUACGUCCUGAGGGAGAAAGUGGGGGAUCUUCGGACCUCACGCUAUCAGAUGAGCCUAGGUCGGAUUAGCCAGUUGGUGGGGUAAAGGCCUACCAAGGCGACGAUCCGUAACCGGUCUGAGAGGAUGAUCAGUCACACUGGAACUGAGACACGGUCCAGACUCCUACGGGAGGCAGCAGUGGGGAAUAUUGGACAAUGGGCGAAAGCCUGAUCCAGCCAUGCCGCGUGUGUGAAGAAGGUCUUCGGAUUGUAAAGCACUUUAAGUUGGGAGGAAGGGCAGUAAGUUAAUACCUUGCUGUUUUGACGUUACCAACAGAAUAAGCACCGGCUAACUUCGUG